UAUAAGAGAUUUUGAGAUUUUGCUUGUACUGUUUGACCACCCGUCUUAUUUAAAAAUUUUUGGAAUUAUUAUUUAUUUUUUUUGACUUGCUCUAAAGUACUUUAAGCACAACUUUUCGUUUUUUAUAUUUGUAUAAAUUUUUUGAAUAAGACGAGUGGUCAAACAGUGCAAAUAAAAACUCAAAAUCCCUUAUA
Molecule: non-coding RNA, 194 nt
Organism: Oryza glumipatula
Lineage: Eukaryota; Viridiplantae; Streptophyta; Magnoliopsida; Poales; Poaceae
Source: Rfam